RNAcentral lists this long non-coding RNA (490 nucleotides) under Gossypium raimondii (Peruvian cotton). RNAcentral's name for it is "long non-coding RNA (GRAI_LNC000977)". The record is from RNAcentral. Lineage: Eukaryota; Viridiplantae; Streptophyta; Magnoliopsida; Malvales; Malvaceae.
GUUUUUUACGAAAAUAAUCUAAAAAAAUAAAAAAUAACCAAAAUAGUAUAAAUUUUUUUAUUUACGAAAAUGGUAUAAAAUUAAAAAAAAACAUAAAAGUUAAAAAAAAAAAGCUGGGGCCCUGGUGGAGGGCCAACCACAGGCGGCACCAACCUCUUAUAUUAGGGGGACCAUUUGGCUGAAUGAGAAGAAAGAAAAGGAAAGGAGAAGAAAGAAAAAGAAAGAAGAAGAAAGGAAAGGAAAGGAGAAGAAAGAAAAGGAAAGGAGAAGAGGGAGGGAAGGAAAAAGAAAGAAAGAAAAAAAGCAAACGUAUUUUUUUUGUUUUAUUUUAAUUUUUUUGUAUUAUUUGUGUAAAAAAUCUAUGUUAUGUACAUUGUAUGUGUUUUAUUAUUUUAUUUAGCAUAUAUUUUUUAUGAAAUUUAUUUAGCAUGAAAAAACCCAUGUUAUGUACAUUUUAUGUUGAUUAGAUAUAUAAGUAAUGAAAUUUAUU